AUUGAACGCUGGCGGCAUGCCUUACACAUGCAAGUCGAACGGCAGCACGGGAGCUUGCUCCUGGUGGCGAGUGGCGAACGGGUGAGUAAUACAUCGGAACGUACCCAGGAGUGGGGGAUAACGUAGCGAAAGUUACGCUAAUACCGCAUAUUCUGUGAGCAGGAAAGCGGGGGAUCGCAAGACCUCGCGCUCUUGGAGCGGCCGAUGUCGGAUUAGCUAGUUGGUGAGGUAAAAGCUCACCAGGGCGACGAUCCGUAGCAGGUCUGAGAGGAUGAUCUGCCACACUGGGACCGAGACACGGCCCAGACUCCUACGGGAGGCAGCAGUGGGGAAUUUUGGACAAUGGGGGCAACCCUGAUCCAGCCAUGCCGCGUGAGUGAAGAAGGCCUUCGGGUUGUAAAGCUCUUUCGGCGGGGAAGAAAUGGCAACGGCUAAUAUCCGUUGUUGAUGACGGUACCCGCAUAAGAAGCACCGGCUAACUACGUGCCAGCAGCCGCGGUAA
RNAcentral lists this ribosomal RNA (502 nucleotides) under uncultured bacterium. RNAcentral's name for it is "partial 16S ribosomal RNA". It matches the Rfam family "Bacterial small subunit ribosomal RNA", at positions 30 to 523 of the family's 1533-position model. The record is from RNAcentral.